CUGUGAUGUUGUUGCAUCUCCCUCUCUGUAUAGCUUGUACCUCAUUGUCUUCUUCAUCUUCUCUCUCACAGGUAUAACAGACUCUUAAACCUGAUAGACAGUCUGGCCACCUGUAAUACCCCUCUAAUUUCUAUUGAGAACCCAUGGUAUUAUGGUUCAUUUAUGUGAGCAUAAGAAACUGCCUAUGCAAACUCUCUGUACUGACUAAAUUAAAGCUCAGACACACCYGUAGGAUUGUCAAAUGUUUGCCUGCCGACAGUACUUAGCACCUCUGAACAGAGUGUCGGAAGUCAAUCUCUUUUAUGUUCAAACAGCAAAGACCUUGGAAGUCGACAGCUUUUAUCCCCUCUAUACCUGCCUCCUACACAACAAACGCUGAGACAUACUGCAGUAUGAGCUCAGCAGCCAUCGCUGUAGCUGUCAUCCACCAAAAAAUGCAGUCUCAAAGUAGUGAUGUGGGUCAGAGCCCAGGGGAGGUUUAGCUGGUGGUAACUGGGCCCAGUCUGCAGCAGCAGCCCGGGGGUGUGCAUUCAUCUUAAGACCGCUAGGUGUGUGCGUGGAUCCUGUGCGUGGAGCAGUCAUUUGUGCAGCCUUUGGUAUCUGUGUGAUGCCCAGAUACUGAGAGCACAGUGGGCCCAUGGUCACUAGCAUUGUCCCAGACCCAGUACUUAUCCCCUGAUCCCAGAAACACCACCUAACUCUCUUUGCAUGUUCUCAGGGUGUGAUAGUUGGUGUGAAUGAGGACAUGGCCUACUCCUGGGAGUGAUGUGGGAGUGACUGCUUGGAGAUGGCACCCCAAAAGCUCUCCAACAGAGCACCAUCAUGUCUGUGUUGUACUCUGCAGCCUCUGGCUAUGAGGUUACAAGGUGGAGAAUGUGUUGGGGAGGGAGGUGGGCCCCAUCAGCGCUUACGUCCGUGUGGUCACCAGGAAACCUGCCCUGUGCAUCGGCCUGGAAGACAUCUGCCUCUGAGGCUGUCAAAGUGGGGAGUGGGACCCCAUGAAAUAAAUAUGUAAGACUGAGGCCUCCUCAGCCCAGCCCCACAAGCUCUCUCUGUACAGAAUGUGAAUAAUUGGUGAAAAAUAGAUCUGUUUGUGUGUUACUGAUGCGUUAGGACCCAGGAGCUGACAGCCCAAGGUUAGAACUGACAGACCAGAGGAGCAACAUAUGUCAAACUUGGCCCACGUGGGUCCAACUGGUGACUGUAAAAUAUGCCUGUUUGCUGUAAAUAGCCACACGUUUCUCUGUGUUUCCUUGAAUAUCUACCUCCUAAUAUAUCUCUGAAGAUGAAUGGUGCUUAUACUCAGUCAAU
Non-coding RNA from Salvelinus sp. IW2-2015, 1311 nucleotides. The record is from RefSeq and is a predicted model, not a curated record. NCBI's taxonomy places the organism in Eukaryota, Metazoa, Chordata, Actinopteri, Salmoniformes, Salmonidae.